GGUAAUAUAUAUAUAUAUAUACACAGGCUGGUAAUAUAUAUAUAUAUAUAUAUAUAGGUUAUAUACAGGCUGGUAAUAUAUAGGUUAUAUACAGGCUGGUAAUAUAUAUAGGUUAUAAACAGGCUGGUAAUAUAUAUAGGUUAUAAACAGGCUGGUAAUAUAUAUAGGUUAUAUACAGGCUGGUAAUAUAUAUAGGUUAUAUACAGGCUGGUAAUAUAUAUAGGUUAUAUACAGGCUGGUAAUAUAUAUAGGUUAUAUACAGGCUGGUAAUAUAUAUAGGUUAUAUACAGGCUGGUAAUAUAUAUAGGUUAUAUACAGGCUGGUAAUAUAUAUAGGUUAUAUACAGGCUGGUAAUAUACAUAGGUUAUAAACAGGCUGGUAAUAUAUAUAGGUUAUAUACAGGCUGGUAAUAUAUAUAGGUUAUAAACAGGCUGGUAAUAUAUAGGUUAUAAACAGGCUGGUAAUAUAUAUAGGUUAUAAACAGGCUGGUAAUAUAUAUGGGUUAUAAACAGGCUGGUAAUAUAUAUAGGUUAUAAACAGGCUGGUAAUAUAUAAAUACAUACACAGGUUGAUAAUACAUUCUAUAGGU
Oncorhynchus keta (chum salmon) is the source of this 589-nucleotide long non-coding RNA. RefSeq lists it as uncharacterized. The record is from RefSeq and is a predicted model, not a curated record. Lineage: Eukaryota; Metazoa; Chordata; Actinopteri; Salmoniformes; Salmonidae. The transcript is spliced from 3 exons.